ACGGUGGAGUCGCGAAAGUAACCUGCCUGCUUGCGGGGGAUCAAUAUUGAAAAAUAACUGUAAUACCUCAUAACUCCUUUAUUGCUUGAAUAACUCUUGAAAGGUGUUCAUGCAGGGAACCAACUGGACCUGCCUUGUAUUCCUAGGGGGUGGGCCUCGGCUCACUAUGACGACUAUACGUACUGAAACGAUGAUGGUGAUAUUGGAACUGAGACUGACCCGGACUCCUACUCCAAGCGGAGGUGGGGAAUAUUGAUCUUCGGGGGUGACCCAGACUCUGACCUGCCACGUGCAUGAGAAUGGCCAUCGGUUUCGGAUCUUCUUUCUCUGAUGAAGAAGGAUAUUGAGUGAGAAACUGAACAAAUUGCCCUGAGUCGGUAACUAACCACCGGGGAACUGCUAGCUACCUGCCACCGUCCUAGGGAAGACGUAAGUCCCGAUCGUAGUCCCUGUUUAUUGGGGGUACAGCGGCCGCUAUUUGAUAGAUGAGUCUGAUCUUCGAGGCUGUGGCUUAAAUUGCAUUUCCUACUGAGACUGUUUAGUACUUUUGGGAAGGGUAAAAUUGCACUUGCAUGUGUGAAGUGCAUAUGCGUAUAUAUAUGUACGAACACCGGUGGCAACCCCGUGUCUCUGUACUGUCGCUGAUGUUCAAGCUCGUGAGCAUGAAAAGCGAUUAGGAUUACAGACACUGCUAGCUGUCAACGCAGACGAUGAGUGCAAUGUGCUUUGAUCCUUGCCGCCAGUAGCUG
Molecule: ribosomal RNA, 749 nt
Filed under: uncultured bacterium
Lineage: Bacteria
Description: bacterial SSU rRNA
Source: RNAcentral